AUACGGAGGGUGCAAGCGUUAUCCGGAAUCACUGGGUUUAAAGGGUGCGUAGGCGGCUAAAUAAGUCAGAGGAGAAAUCUUCCUGCUUAACGGGAAAAUUGCCUUUGAAACUGUAUAGCUUGAAUUAAGUUGAGGUUAGCGGAAUGUGACAUGUAGCGGUGAAAUGCAUAGAUAUGUCAUAGAACACCAAAUGCGAAGGCAGCUGGCUAGGCUUAUAUUGACGCUGAGGCACGAAAGCGUGGGGAGCGAACAGGAUUAGAAACCCUAGUAGUCC
This 274-nucleotide ribosomal RNA is filed under the name uncultured bacterium. RNAcentral describes it as "partial 16S ribosomal RNA". It matches the Rfam family "Bacterial small subunit ribosomal RNA", at positions 523 to 796 of the family's 1533-position model. The record is from RNAcentral.